UGCAAGUCGAGGGGCAGCGGGAUUGAAGCUUGCUUCAAUUGCCGGCGACCGGCGCACGGGUGAGUAACGCGUAUCCAACCUUCCGCUUACUCGGGGAUAGCCUUUCGAAAGAAAGAUUAAUACCCGAUGGUAUCUUAAGCACGCAUGAGAUUAAGAUUAAAGAUUUAUCGGUAAGCGAUGGGGAUGCGUUCCAUUAGGCAGUUGGCGGGGUAACGGCCCACCAAACCUACGAUGGAUAGGGGUUCUGAGAGGAAGGUCCCCCACAUUGGAACUGAGACACGGUCCAAACUCCUACGGGAGGCAGCAGUGAGGAAUAUUGGUCAAUGGGCGAGAGCCUGAACCAGCCAAGUAGCGUGAAGGAUGACGGCCCUACGGGUUGUAAACUUCUUUUGUGCGGGAAUAAAGGAACCUACGUGUAGGUUUUUGCAUGUACCGUAACGAAUAAGCAUCGGCUAACUCCGUGCCAGCAGCCGCGGUAAUACGGAGGAUGCGAGCGUUAUCCGGAUUUAUUGGGUUUAAAGGGAGCGUAGACGGGUUUUUAAGUCAGCUGUGAAAGUUUGGGGCUCAACCUUAAAAUUGCAGUUGAAACUGGAGACCUUGAGUACGGUUGAGGCAGGCGGAAUUCGUGGUGUAGCGGUGAAAUGCUUAGAUAUCACGAAGAACCCCGAUUGCGAAGGCAGCCUGCUAAGCCGCCACUGACGUUGAGGCUCGAA
This 713-nucleotide ribosomal RNA is filed under the name uncultured bacterium. RNAcentral's name for it is "bacterial SSU rRNA". It matches the Rfam family "Bacterial small subunit ribosomal RNA", at positions 56 to 757 of the family's 1533-position model. The record is from RNAcentral.